GACAGAGGGUGCAAACGUUGUUCGGAAUUACUGGGCGUAAAGCGAGUGUAGGCGGUUUGGAAAGUCGGAUGUGAAAGCCCCGGGCUCAACCCGGGAAGUGCACUCGAUACUCCCAAGCUAGAGUAUGGGAGAGGUUGGUGGAAUUCUCGGUGUAGAGGUGAAAUUCGUAGAUAUCGAGAGGAACACCGGUGGCGAAGGCGGCCAACUGGACCAAUACUGACGCUGAGACUCGAAAGCGUGGGGGAGCAAACAGG
RNAcentral lists this ribosomal RNA (254 nucleotides) under uncultured bacterium. RNAcentral's name for it is "partial 16S ribosomal RNA". It matches the Rfam family "Bacterial small subunit ribosomal RNA", at positions 524 to 776 of the family's 1533-position model. The record is from RNAcentral.